RNAcentral lists this ribosomal RNA (74 nucleotides) under Pistacia terebinthus (terebinth). The record is from RNAcentral. Lineage: Eukaryota; Viridiplantae; Streptophyta; Magnoliopsida; Sapindales; Anacardiaceae.
UUAAGUUUUGUUUGUGCUUGGCGAGAGUAGUACUAGGAUGGGUGACCUCCUGGGAAGUCCUCGUGUUGCACCCC